RNAcentral lists this ribosomal RNA (253 nucleotides) under uncultured bacterium. RNAcentral's name for it is "partial 16S ribosomal RNA". It matches the Rfam family "Bacterial small subunit ribosomal RNA", at positions 524 to 776 of the family's 1533-position model. The record is from RNAcentral.
UACGGGGGGGGCAAGCGUUGUUCGGAAUUACUGGGCGUAAAGGGCUCGUAGGCGGCCAACUAAGUCAGACGUGAAAUCCCUCGGCUUAACCGGGGAACUGCGUCUGAUACUGGAUGGCUUGAGUGUUGCAGGGGAGACUGGAAUUCCUGGUGUAGCGGUGAAAUGCGCAGAUAUCAGGAGGAACACCGGUGGCGAAGGCGGGUCUCUGGGCAACAACUGACGCUGAGGAGCGAAAGCGUGGGGAGCGAACAGG